Long non-coding RNA from Oncorhynchus masou masou (cherry salmon), 671 nucleotides. RefSeq lists it as uncharacterized. The transcript has 2 exons. NCBI's taxonomy places the organism in Eukaryota, Metazoa, Chordata, Actinopteri, Salmoniformes, Salmonidae. The record is from RefSeq and is a predicted model, not a curated record.
CUUUCAAGCCUUCACUGAUAACCUUUCCCCCUUCUCAGAGACUAUUCACGCUGCAGGACAGCUGUUGCUGACGCAUGGUGUGUCUUCAAUGAAACCCGAGAGUUCGCUCAGAAUAUUUGAGAGUGCCAGAAUCUUCCCCCGGCUCCUGCCACAGAUAAAGCAGCUGAGCAGCAACAUAAUCCUGCCCACCAUCUCUGUACAUCUGAUAAUGUUGCCAUAUCGUAACAUAAUGAGCACAAAGUUGCAUCACUGUAGUAAGGAAACUUGUUAGAGCAGCUUAGAGCAUAGACAGAGCAUACACAAAAUAGUACAACUCACUGGUGACAUUGUAAAGUGCCUUCAGAAAAUAUUCUAAUCAAAGCUGAGUGAAGCUUUUUCUCCCUAUACAUUUCAAGUCUCGAACUUUCAGUUGCAUCAGAUCCAAUGGUUUCAUCAUACAGAUAUUGUUGAUUAUUUCUGACUCACUCUUACAGGUAAUAGAUUUAAACCUUUACAUUUAAACCUGAUUUCCUACCUCCUGUUCAUAGCAUGUUUUUCUUUCUUGUUUAGAAAGUAAUUUAAGUCAUAUAAAAGUAAUUGUAUACAUCUCUUUCCUGCAGUCGAUCUCCCACUAGUGGCCUCAUGGGUGGAAUGUUAUUCAUAUUUUUCAUAAUAAAUAAACUAUGUCAAAA